AUGGCAGAUCCUGCGCUAAUUGCAGGGCUCCACGAGAAGGUGACCCGAGUCAAAGAGAAAGUUGCCGGCCAGGCUGCUCCCUUGCUCUCACUCUGCAAUUGGCUUCUGCGAGCUCCCAUCGCUCCUUUAAGAAGCUGCCACACAAACAAGGCAGCUGCUCUGCUCCUUCCCUGAUUGCAGCCAGAGGGGGAAUGGACUCUGCGGACGGUGACACACGAUCAUUUUCAUCUACAUUUCAUUUUACAUCGGGAUUAUGAAUUGACACUGAACAGAGCAGGCUUCAUCCUGUGGCAGUUCAGUGCAUGCUUUCUGCAAAACAGACAACACAAAACACACGGGCUUUGGUCAGUGAUGGUCAUGAUCUGAUGGAGGAUGUCUCCGAUGUCCUGCUUCCUGCCGUCGCCGUCUGCCCCUUCGUGUCCGUGGGG
Molecule: long non-coding RNA, 428 nt
Organism: Alligator mississippiensis (American alligator)
Lineage: Eukaryota; Metazoa; Chordata; Crocodylia; Alligatoridae
Exons: 3
Source: RefSeq, a predicted model, not a curated record